CCUUUGACGUUAGCGGCGGACGGGUGAGUAACACGUGGGUAACCUACCUAUAAGACUGGGAUAACUUCGGGAAACCGGAGCUAAUACCGGAUAAUAUUUCGAACCGCAUGGUUCGAUAGUGGAAGGUGGUUUUGCUAUCACUUAUAGAUGGACCCGCGCCGUAUUAGCUAGUUGGUAAGGUAACGGCUUACCAAGGCGACGAUACGUAGCCGACCUGAGAGGGUGAUCGGCCACACUGGAACUGAGACACGGUCCAGACUCCUACGGGAGGCAGCAGAC
This 279-nucleotide ribosomal RNA is filed under the name uncultured Staphylococcus sp. RNAcentral describes it as "partial 16S ribosomal RNA". It matches the Rfam family "Bacterial small subunit ribosomal RNA", at positions 83 to 354 of the family's 1533-position model. Lineage: Bacteria; Bacillati; Bacillota; Bacilli; Caryophanales; Staphylococcaceae. The record is from RNAcentral.